RNAcentral lists this non-coding RNA (223 nucleotides) under Capsicum annuum. Its description in RNAcentral is "Bacterial large subunit ribosomal RNA". It matches the Rfam family "Bacterial large subunit ribosomal RNA", at positions 266 to 467 of the family's 2925-position model. Lineage: Eukaryota; Viridiplantae; Streptophyta; Magnoliopsida; Solanales; Solanaceae. The record is from Rfam by way of RNAcentral.
AGACUUCACAUCGAUUAUAAUGCAUUUGAAGGUAUGUCUUUUCUUAAUUUUGUUCUCAUUCAUAUUGGUCCUAUUUAUAUUAUUAAGGGGGAAGCAACUCGAAUGUUGCACCCUAGAUGGCGAAAGUUCAGUAGUUGAAAGCAUCACUAACUUAGGCUCUGACUCGAGUAGCAUGAGAUACGUGGAGUCUCGUGUGAAUCAGCAAGGACCACCUUGCAAGUCU